AAUGUAAGUUACGAGCAUAAAGGCAGAGAACCGAACUUUAAAACAACUGCGAAAGAAAUCAGCGACCGACAUAGAAGGAUAGAAAUAUACAAUUUGAAACUGUAGCACAAUUUAAGGCGUCAUGAAAAGAAACGUGUUUCCAGUAGUUUAAUGGCAUUACAGAUAGGUUGUAAAAGAAGUAGCCUAUUUAGGAAUAUAAUUAUAUCUAUAUGAUUAAAAUACUCUUUUACUAAGUUAUAAGAUGUAGUAAACAGUGAGUUAGAAGCAAGGUAUAUAAUUGCAGCUAGGUGUUGUAGAUGUUAUUAUGAAUAUGUGAACUUAUUUGGAUAUACAUCACUUCUAGAAGAUAGAAACGGUGACAAAUGAAUGAUACAACGAUGUGAAUUAACUGAUAAAGACAAAACGCUUUUCUUUGUUGCUUAGGGACGCGCACCUGAAAAUUUCCCCAAAGUUUUCCGGUUUGGUUGUACAAGUACCACCUAAACUAACUGGUGGCUGUGCGUACAACACGACACAACAAAAGCGUUAAUUACUUGGCCCGUGCUGCAGGAAUAAAAGCGCCCGAAUGCUAUCGAAUCGAGACGAGGCAACGUCACCAAGAACGAUAAUCAAAAACGAGAGUCACCUGAAGCUGUAAAAUAUUAAGUCAACUUUAUAAAGAUGAUGAUGCAAUGUGACGAGAUCCUCGGCAAUGGAAAAAUACAAAUAAUAUUCUGCUCGGCAAAAAGCCUGUCGUGUUUUAAUAUUUAAAGCAAGGUUGUAAAUAUAGGGAUGUAUCGAUUAUUCCGAUGUGAUGCUACUAUGCAAACGAAAAUACCUGUUUAAAUAAAUCGAGCAUAGCCUUUAAACCUUGGGCGUGGCAAGCAACGACGGUCGAUAUAUAACACGAGUGUUCUUCUGUUAACAUACACCUCGUGUCCGCUUACAAGUUACCAUGUAUGUAACUUUAUGAAUGUUUGUUUUCUUGCCUCACCCUACUUAUAUUCAAAUUUCGUAAAACGGACUUUGCUCCCGAAUUGUAGGCUACGCUUGUUUCCAUUGACAUUUUGGGAAAGUUCCAAUAAAACAAACUGACUGACGAGGCAAUAAAGUUUACUGUGCGGAGAUUUUUUAUAUAACUUUUAUUUAUUACAAAUAUUUAACUUCAACACACUGUUACCGUGUGUUGGGCUCAGCAAUCGCGUUUUUAUUUGUAGAGUUUAUACUCAUUGUUUAUAUUCAUGCUAUCAUGUACCACCAAGUAUUUGAUAUCUAUGUAUCACGUCAUAAUCAUGUUAUUAACUCGACUAACAAUAUACCGAGCUAACCAAGAGUCCAGUCUAGUUUUUAAAUGUUAUCAAAACUAGACAGUGGAACACUAUACUAUUUAGGCAUGUUUCAUCAAUGAUUUCCUAUAUACCCCGUUGCGUGUUUAACGACUGUCGUUUUGCUGUUAAUUAUUUUAUAUUUUUAUUUGAUUGAUUUGUUCUUUGCUAUCGUAUUAUAAGAAAGAAAUAAAUGCUUGAAUAAAGUUUAUUGUUACACUCCCCACCACAACAAAUUAAAGAAACUAAAGACAAACUAAACUAACCAGUACACUGUACGGUUUAGGGCUUAACGGUGCACUAACUUAACUAUACAGAACAACCGCAACACGAGCAAACUGAGUAAGUUGGAACUAAAGCGACAAACACGUCGCUAUAUGUUGAUCGCAAGACGGGCGCUAUGUAAAUUGUGAGGGAAGCAGUAACUAUGGUGGCUCAAUGCAACCUACUACGGUUAAGUUACAAACAAUAUUAUGAUGUCUAUAAAGCGUAUACGGGUGUGGAUUAUUAUGUAUAGUAGGAUGGGGGAAGAUGGGACACCUUUUCGUUUA
This is a non-coding RNA of Ciona intestinalis (vase tunicate), 1855 nucleotides long. The record is from RefSeq and is a predicted model, not a curated record. NCBI's taxonomy places the organism in Eukaryota, Metazoa, Chordata, Ascidiacea, Phlebobranchia, Cionidae.